This 467-nucleotide ribosomal RNA is filed under the name uncultured bacterium. RNAcentral's name for it is "partial 16S ribosomal RNA". It matches the Rfam family "Bacterial small subunit ribosomal RNA", at positions 28 to 506 of the family's 1533-position model. The record is from RNAcentral.
GACGAACGCUGGCGGCGUGCUUAACACAUGCAAGUCGAACGGAAAGGCCCUGCUUUUGUGGGGUGCUCGAGUGGCGAACGGGUGAGUAACACGUGAGUAACCUGCCCUUGACUUUGGGAUAACUUCAGGAAACUGGGGCUAAUACCGGAUAGGAGCUCCUGCUGCAUGGUGGGGGUUGGAAAGUUUCGGCGGUUGGGGAUGGACUCGCGGCUUAUCAGCUUGUUGGUGGGGUAGUGGCUUACCAAGGCUUUGACGGGUAGCCGGCCUGAGAGGGUGACCGGCCACAUUGGGACUGAGAUACGGCCCAGACUCCUACGGGAGGCAGCAGUGGGGAAUAUUGCACAAUGGGCGGAAGCCUGAUGCAGCAACGCCGCGUGCGGGAUGACGGCCUUCGGGUUGUAAACCGCUUUCGCCUGUGACGAAGCGUGAGUGACGGUAAUGGGUAAAGAAACACCGGCUAUCUACGU